This 457-nucleotide ribosomal RNA is filed under the name uncultured Leptolinea sp. RNAcentral's name for it is "bacterial SSU rRNA". It matches the Rfam family "Bacterial small subunit ribosomal RNA", at positions 910 to 1382 of the family's 1533-position model. Lineage: Bacteria; Bacillati; Chloroflexota; Anaerolineae; Anaerolineales; Anaerolineaceae. The record is from RNAcentral.
UUGACGGGCCCGCACAAGCAGCGGAGCGUGUGGUUUAAUUCGAUGCUACACGAAGAACCUUACCAGGGUUUGACAUGCAAGUGGUAGGAAACCGAAAGGCGACCGACCCUUCGGGGAGCUUGCACAGGUGCUGCAUGGCUGUCGUCAGCUCGUGUCGUGAGAUGUUCGGUUAAGUCCGCUAACGAGCGCAACCCUCGCUGUGUGUUACAAGUGUCACACGGUACUGCCGGUCUUAAGCCGGAGGAAGGUGGGGAUGACGUCAAGUCAGCAUGGCCUUUAUGUCCUGGGCUACACACACGCUACAAUGGCCAACACAAUAGGUUGCUAAGCCGCGAGGUGGAGCCAAUCCUCAAAGUUGGUCUCAGUUCAGAUUGCAGGCUGCAACCCGCCUGCAUGAAGAUGGAGUUGCUAGUAACCGCAGGUCAGCUAUACUGCGGUGAAUACGUUCCCGGGGCUU